UAUGUUGAUAAUUUUACCAGUGAACUCUUAUUUUGCUUUAGCUAUGCAAUUUCUUAGAAGUUAACAUACAUUUUGUACACAAAGCACAAAUUUGGUUUCGUUUCACAUCCAUCUGUAAAUAUUCUGAGUUAAGGCAGUAAUUGAUAUACUCUCUCUCAUACCACACGCCGUAGGUUUUUCUCCGAGUAGAGAAGGAAAGAGUUAAAUAAAUGUGCUUUGGGUUUAUUUACAUGAAAUGGUGACAUUAAACUUACAAUUUUCUCGUCGUCCAUUAAUUUCACCAUCUCGGGCUUAUCAUAAUGCGGUGCCUCAGUGUUUUCCUUGAUUUUAAGGGAUCAUAACAUGACGAGUUAUUUAAACGAUAUUUUUUUUGUUCAUAGCGUGAAACGGCGUUAACUUAUAUGGUUAAAGACUUUUGGAGCGUGCCGAAAACAAUAAAAAAAAAACUGGUGGUAUGAACAGGUUGAACAAGUACAUGUCAAAGAACUUGUCACCAUGGUAAUCAAUAUCCAUCAGCUUUAUUAACAGCACAUUGACAUGUACCUGAAGUUCAUCUCACUCUCAUUAUUAGAGAACACGAAAUAAACUUAGGUUUUAUGUUGGAUAGAUUGACACUGUGAUUGGCUUAUUUAUGUGACGUCAACUUUGUAUGUAAAUUAGCUCAGAAAGGUGUGGCAAACUUUAAUAAAGAAAAUCGUAAUGCUUUGUUUCUUCUGUAGGAGUGUAAAGUAUUUUAGGACCUCCGUAAAUCUGGUAUAAUGGUAAAGAAUUCCUUCGCAAAAUUUACCGGGAUGGAAAAUAUUCUGUGGUUUAUGUUCCAUUUAAAUAUUGAGCAGGACAAACCAAGCAGCCGAGGAGACUCGAUUAAAAUUUUAGACUUAACUGAAAUCAUUUUCGCUUUUCACAUUUUCGGCUGAGGAUGAGCAUUCACGAUGAGAAGACAGAUUCCCAACAACGAUAGAAAAAGAUUUUGGACUUUUCAAGGUGGUUAGAGCUGCGAAGACGACGGUCGGCAUAAGGCGGGAAAAUAGAUCACCCUAAUUCCUCUUUGUCGGGGCUUUCAUAUUGUGCUUGUAUGGACCCUCGAAAUGGAGGUAACGACCUUUUUUAACCUUAUGACGUAACAUACUGUAACCGACGGAUGAAACAAAUAGCAGAGAUUCACCACAAAGACUCUUGGGAAGAACCAAUGAACAAAGCCCUGACGACUUCUCAUCAGUCUCUGACAAACGGCUUGGACUAACUUGACAUCUCGGACGACUGACGUAAACACGGACAGUUAUGUCUGGUCGGCUAAUGUAAAGUUGACAAAACGCUGAAAUGCUGUGGAAACGCAGAUACGUAUAACACUUCUUACUUAUUCUGACGCGAACUGAGACGCCCGCGAGAAAUUGCCUGAGGAGGAGUUUUUGCCUAUUUGGUUAAAAAAAAAAUUAAUGAUGGUGAUCAUUUUUAUUUUAAUCACACUUCGUCAAAAAAUGUUGAUUUUUGAAGAUCUUAGGUGUCGAAGAGGGUGAAACAACCCUAUGCCAUAAUUCGUGUCGAAAAGGCUUCGAGCAACGCUAUCACUAAAAAAAAUUCAGUUUGCCAGCAGCGAGAAGCACUUGUGAGAUUGAAACUGAUAUAACUACCACAUUCAUCAACUAAAUUUAAACUUUUAAAAACUUUUACAUUUUGAGGUCAGGGUUCAGAAUAUGAUCAUAUGACCACUGUUGCUAGCAAAUACUACAUGUUGCACACGAUUCUCACUCAGAGUCAUGCAGAUAGUUUUUCUCGGGCAAUUGAUCACGGCGUUCAACACAAAGCUCACCACUAUAUAGACUUAAAUGCGUUUUUACCAUCUUGUGUAAUACGAAGGCGUUAUUUGUUAAGUUGUCUUAUGUAGAAGAGUGAAAAGCGUUGUUUGUUUCCGUAUUGUCAGUGAUGUGUUGUAUCCUUCAGUAAGAUCACUGUGUGUAUGUAGGUGUUUGUGUACACGGCUGUGUUGUGAUUUAAGUGUAGGUGAACGAACACCGUCUGUCAGUUUGGGUGAUUGUUUUAUAUCUAUUUGAUGCUCCAUUGUGUGUUUCCCUUUAAACAGUUUGGUGUCAAUGCAUAUUUAAUUU
RNAcentral lists this long non-coding RNA (2105 nucleotides) under Pocillopora damicornis (cauliflower coral). RNAcentral describes it as "uncharacterized LOC113681233". The record is from RNAcentral. Lineage: Eukaryota; Metazoa; Cnidaria; Anthozoa; Scleractinia; Pocilloporidae.